Molecule: transfer RNA, 75 nt
Filed under: Mycobacteroides abscessus subsp. abscessus
Lineage: Bacteria; Bacillati; Actinomycetota; Actinomycetes; Mycobacteriales; Mycobacteriaceae
Description: tRNA-Leu(tag)
Source: RNAcentral
GGUCCGCUAGGCAAACUGGCAAAGCCGGCAGAUUUAGGUUCUGUUGCUUCCGAGUUCGACUCUCGGGCGGACCAC